CUUAUUCUAUGGAACCUAUACAAAAAUUUUCAUAAUUUAUGGAUCAGCACAUGAUUUAUUACACAACAUCAAACAUAUGUCACAAUUUUGAAUAAAAGAAAAAAGAAAAAGCUCACUGCUCCCACGGUCGGCCCGCUUGGCCUUGGCCCAAACCGGCCCGAGCACUUCCCGCGCCCAGCGCCCUCUCCCCCUCUCUCUCACGC
RNAcentral lists this long non-coding RNA (203 nucleotides) under Sorghum bicolor (sorghum). Its description in RNAcentral is "long non-coding RNA (SBIC_LNC018819)". Lineage: Eukaryota; Viridiplantae; Streptophyta; Magnoliopsida; Poales; Poaceae. The record is from RNAcentral.